UACGUAGGGUGCAAGCGUUUGUCCGGAAUUAUUGGGCGUAAAGAGCUUGUAGGUGGUUUGUCGCGUCUGCUGUGAAAAUCCGAGGCUCAACCUCGGACUUGCAGUGGGUACGGGCAGACUAGAGGUAUGCAGGGGAGAAUGGAAUUCCUGGUGUAGCGGUGAAAUGCGUAGAUAUCGGGAGGAACACCUGUGGCGAAAGCGGCUCACUGGACCAUUACUGACGCUGAUGCUCGAAAGCUAGGGGAGCAAACAGG
RNAcentral lists this ribosomal RNA (254 nucleotides) under uncultured bacterium. RNAcentral's name for it is "partial 16S ribosomal RNA". It matches the Rfam family "Bacterial small subunit ribosomal RNA", at positions 524 to 776 of the family's 1533-position model. The record is from RNAcentral.